CUAGAUAUACGAGCAACAUACUCAAAUCGAUUUGGGAGGAGAGGGUCUUCUACCACCAUACUGCGAUGACUACCCAUUUGUGGAGUCUUUCGGAUGAAGGGAGUUCUAGACAAACCUUAUAGGCAAACAGAUUUCGCCUGAAGCAUGUCACAGGAUCUGCAGCACCAAGGAGCCAUCUCGAGUGCAAAUCCAAGAGGAGGAGGAUGAUCGAACAGGACCUAGGAUGGAUUUACGCUAUUUGGGUGGGAUUACGGC
This 255-nucleotide long non-coding RNA is filed under the name Eucalyptus grandis. RNAcentral's name for it is "long non-coding RNA (EGRA_LNC003694)". Lineage: Eukaryota; Viridiplantae; Streptophyta; Magnoliopsida; Myrtales; Myrtaceae. The record is from RNAcentral.